AUGUUUGAAUAUAUCUCUGCUUAUUCAAGGUUUCCUAUGAUCGACUAUUGUUACUUUCUUAAAAUUGCAUUCUUUAGGUGUAGAAGCGGGACUACCUUUGUUCUUUUGCUGAAGAUCCUCUACAAUUCCUUUAUUAGUAAUUUUAUCAAAUUAGAAUGUUCACUACACUUCAUGCAUAGAGAACUGAAAAGACAUCUUGGAGCUUGA
Molecule: non-coding RNA, 207 nt
Organism: Vicia faba (fava bean)
Lineage: Eukaryota; Viridiplantae; Streptophyta; Magnoliopsida; Fabales; Fabaceae
Source: the annotation of a GenBank genome assembly